GAUCCUGGCUCGGGAUGAACGCUGGCGGCGUGCUUAACACAUGCAAGUCGAACGGGAAUUACUUUAUUGAAACUUCGGUCGAUUUAAUUUAAUUCUAGUGGCGGACGGGUGAGUAACGCGUGGGUAACCUGCCUUGUACAGGGGGAUAACAGUUAGAAAUGACUGCUAAUACCGCAUAAGCGCACAGAGCUGCAUGGCUCAGUGUGAAAAACUCCGGUGGUAUAAGAUGGACCCGCGUUGGAUUAG
This 246-nucleotide ribosomal RNA is filed under the name uncultured bacterium. RNAcentral describes it as "partial 16S ribosomal RNA". It matches the Rfam family "Bacterial small subunit ribosomal RNA", at positions 15 to 244 of the family's 1533-position model. The record is from RNAcentral.